UACAGAGGUCCCAAGCGUUGUUCGGAUUCACUGGGCGUAAAGCGCGCGCAGGCGGUCAUUUAAGUCUGGUGUUUAAGCCCGGGGCUCAACCCCGGUUCGCAUCGGAAACUGGAUGACUUGAGUGUAGGAGAGGGAAGUGGAAUUCCACGUGUAGCGGUGAAAUGCGUAGAGAUGUGGAGGAACACCAGUGGCGAAGGCGACUUUCUGGCCUAUAACUGACGCUGAGGCGCGAAAGCGUGGGGAGCGAACAGG
RNAcentral lists this ribosomal RNA (252 nucleotides) under uncultured bacterium. Its description in RNAcentral is "partial 16S ribosomal RNA". It matches the Rfam family "Bacterial small subunit ribosomal RNA", at positions 524 to 776 of the family's 1533-position model. The record is from RNAcentral.